AGCUGGAAUGACAUGCUCUGUAUUCUCUUUCAGCGAGGGGUGAGAGGAAGGGCAACGGGGCGAACGACGACGGGAACCUGGAGAGAGAGAUUAGCUGAACAGCUGGGAUCGUGCAGAAAGAAGAAGGUCAUAUGGGUUUGGAACAUAAACAAAGAAGAAGACCAUACAGGUUUGGAACAUAAAAAAAGGAGAAGGUCAUUUGGGUUUGGAACAAAAUUAAAUUAGUAUGGCGGCAGUCAAGCGUCUUCCCCAGUCAAACUGAGAAAGUGUUCAAAGGCGCUGAAACUGUAUCCUCCACUCCAGAUCUCGUUCCCCGCGGCGGGAAUCACAACCUGCUCCGUUUCAGAAGACCUGGCAGCGCUUCUCAUAACACACACACAUGCAGACAAAUGUGGGCCCUGCAUUGUUGAGUGCAGCUGUGUUUACGGCUCUCAGCUUGAUAUCCAGUCCUAGAACGAGCAGGUGUUUGAGACGAAACACGGAGGAGAAAUGAGUAUCCAGGAACACAGGUAAUGGCACGAAGCCCCUGGCCCGGGGAAACUGAACCUGCCCGUGCAGGGACGCGUCCGGAACGGGGCCACGCUUCAUUUGGGCUCUGUGAGCAGCUGUCAAUCUCUGGUUACAGGAUAUUAUUAAAGCCAGCAGAGAUCCUCCUACUUCCCAUCUUUCUACACAACCACAUUGUGGAUGUUCGCCGGAUCCUCCUCUUUCCACCUAAAAGCUGCUGUCGGUGCGGUUGGAAGUCAUAAUUUAAGAUUUGCUGGUCUGCUUUACUUUAAAACCUUGUAAUUUACCUCAAGUAUUUUUUUUUCACUGCAUAAACAAUCUUAAUCGUUUCUUAAUUUUGUCCUGUUUUCCACUAAAAUUGUGUAAACAUCCUUUUUGCGGAAUUUAAGUGUAAUUUAGGAUUGAUGGAUGACACGUGCAUCACAUAAUUAAAUCCAACAGGAACGUUUGGAUGUCAUGCAACCGCAGCUGAAAACAAAACAAAAACAAAAAAAAACAAAUUAUUUUCCCAUUAAAAUAAUGUAAAUAUACCUUUAAAAAUUAAUUAUAAAUUAAAAAAGCUAAACUGUGCACAAUAAAACUUAAAUAACACAUAUUUGUCAUAGAUGUAUACUUAAAACAAGAAAAACAAUAUACAACAAGUGUAAUUAAAAUAAAUGUUAAUAACAUUUAAGAUCAUUUUGAUUAAAUGUAUAUUGUUUUAACUAAAAAACAAGACUUUUUUCAUUUUUCAAGCAUCAUUUAGGUUCAAUUUGACAUGUUCAUGACGUAAUUAAAUCUGAAAGUGAUUGACAGGAACGUUUUGAUGUCAUGCAACUG
Labeo rohita (rohu) is the source of this 1326-nucleotide long non-coding RNA. RefSeq lists it as uncharacterized. NCBI's taxonomy places the organism in Eukaryota, Metazoa, Chordata, Actinopteri, Cypriniformes, Cyprinidae. The record is from RefSeq and is a predicted model, not a curated record. The transcript is spliced from 7 exons.